Molecule: small RNA, 30 nt
Filed under: Bombyx mori (domestic silkworm)
Lineage: Eukaryota; Metazoa; Arthropoda; Insecta; Lepidoptera; Bombycidae
Description: ovarian small RNA-7645
Source: RNAcentral
UCGUCAAGGACCACACGCAUCCUGGCCAUC